This 248-nucleotide unclassified non-coding RNA is filed under the name Daphnia pulicaria. RNAcentral describes it as "histone H2A-like, transcript variant X2". Lineage: Eukaryota; Metazoa; Arthropoda; Branchiopoda; Diplostraca; Daphniidae. The record is from RNAcentral.
UAUGUUAAGUGACAGUUGGACCAAAGUGGCCGCUGUUGAUAAUUAAAAUUUGCUUUGUGACUUUUUUUCAUUGGACGUUUAAUACCCAUUUUAUGGCACACGCUUUUAUCACUCAAACAGAGGAGGAAAAGGACUUGGCAAAGGAGGCGCCAAACGUCAUCGCAAAGUUUUGCGUGAUAACAUCCAAGGUAUCACCAAGCCGGCCAUCCGUCGUCUUGCUCGCCGUGGUGGUGUGAAGCGUAUCUCUG